AAAAAGUCAAACUUUGGAUUUCCGUGUCCAAUUUUAACUGUCCGUCUUAUAUGAAAUUUUUUUAUAAUUUGCAUUUUCAUUGUUGUUAGAUGAUAAGACAUGAUUAAUAUUUUAUACGUGACUUGUCUUUUUAAUUUUUCAUAUUUUUUUUAAAUAAGACGGACGGUCAAACGUUAGACAUGAAAAUCAAGGUUUGUCUUUUUC
Molecule: microRNA precursor, 204 nt
Organism: Oryza sativa Japonica Group (Japanese rice)
Lineage: Eukaryota; Viridiplantae; Streptophyta; Magnoliopsida; Poales; Poaceae
Rfam family: MIR812 microRNA precursor family
Source: Rfam